UGAGUAACCUGAUGUGGCUGUUAGCUGGCUUAGGCAUGUGCUCGUCCAUCAUCUUUAUUUCUCCACCUGUGCACAUUUUGUAGACUUGGAUAAUGGCUCUGUCAUUUACAAGACUAUGUUUUCAAUAUACCCAAAGCAUGUUUAAAGAAUGUCAUCAAUAGGAACUUGGUUUCCUAUUAGAAACUAUACAACUUUCAGCAACGGAUCUCUUGGCUCUCGCAUCGAUGAAGAACGCAGCGAAAUGCGUUAAGUAAUGUGAAUUGCAGAAUUCAGUGAAUCAUCGAAUCUUUGAACGCACCUUGCGCUCCUUGGUAUUCCGAGGAGCAUGCCUGUUUGAGUGUCAUUAAAUUCUCAACCUUUCCAUUAAUUUGAUUUGGCUUG
This 381-nucleotide unclassified non-coding RNA is filed under the name uncultured Laccaria. RNAcentral describes it as "partial contains 18S rRNA, ITS1, 5.8S rRNA, ITS2 and 28S rRNA". The stretch from base 190 to 343 matches the Rfam family "5.8S ribosomal RNA". Lineage: Eukaryota; Fungi; Basidiomycota; Agaricomycetes; Agaricales; Tricholomataceae. The record is from RNAcentral.